Molecule: ribosomal RNA, 499 nt
Filed under: uncultured bacterium
Lineage: Bacteria
Description: partial 16S ribosomal RNA
Rfam family: Bacterial small subunit ribosomal RNA
Source: RNAcentral
ACUCAAAUGAAUUGACGGGGACCCGCACAAGCGGUGGAGCAUGUGGUUUAAUUCGAAGCAACGCGAAGAACCUUACCAGGUCUUGACAUCCCAUUGAUCGGAACUUAACCGUUCCUUCCCUUCGGGGCAAUGGAGACAGGUGGUGCAUGGUUGUCGUCAGCUCGUGUCGUGAGAUGUUGGGUUAAGUCCCGCAACGAGCGCAACCCUUAUCUUUAGUAGCCAGCACGUUAAGGUGGGAACUCUAGAGAGACUGCCGGGGAUAACUCGGAGGAAGGUGGGGAUGACGUCAAAUCAUCAUGCCCCUUAUGAUCUGGGCUACACACGUGCUACAAUGGCGGUAACAAAGGGAAGCGAAAGAGUGAUCUGGAGCAAACCCCAGAAAAGCCGUCCCAGUUCGGAUUGUAGUCUGCAACUCGACUACAUGAAGUUGGAAUCGCUAGUAAUCGCGAAUCAGAAUGUCGCGGUGAAUACGUUCCCGGGUCUUGUACACACCGCCCGU